This 942-nucleotide unclassified non-coding RNA is filed under the name Hevea brasiliensis (rubber tree). The record is from RNAcentral. Lineage: Eukaryota; Viridiplantae; Streptophyta; Magnoliopsida; Malpighiales; Euphorbiaceae.
GUUGGAUUGACAUGGUGCAGAAAUGCCUUAUAUUAAUCCAAUGAGCAACACAAAUAUUGAAAGCUAACACAUCAUCCUGCCAUGGCGGCCAAGGCUUUCAUUGACAUCUAUCAAUAUCUUCCUUGCUUCAGCGAACAUGAAAAGCCCUCCGCACCAAGUUAUUCAGCAAAAUGAAUGCAAUUUUUGGUUUAAAAGAAUAUGCCUAAGAACGUCAAGCUCUAUCUACAAAAUGAUAAUUUACAUAACUUUUUUACUUCUGUGGUUUAUGAGCGCCUUAAAGAUGAUUCUUUCUGGGAAAUUAUCUGCCAACUUCAACCAGAUUCUAAUUUCAUUCCUGUUCUCUUGAAAAAUAAAUUAAUGGCGACAAAAAGUAUUAAAAAUGCUGCAUUUUGAGGUCAUUCUCUUUUUUCUUCAUUGCCAACCUUGGGGGACGCAGCAGUAUCUGAAGCAGCAUCGUCCAUAGAAAUAUCGCCUUCCAUAGAUGAUGACUCUACAUUGUCUUCAGCAGCAGAUGACUCUGAUUCUACAACCUGUUGCUGUAAGCUCCAGUACAUUAUGCUUGCAGUCAAAACAAGUAUCAUCUUCUGGUUUACCUCUAUAAUGUCCUCGGGCAGUAAGAAAAUGGAGCAUCCAAGUUUCCGGGCAACACUGAUUAUGUAGGUAGCAUUCAACUUCUUAUCCUCAUCACUUUCUCCCUUUGUAACAACUGCCCAAUUGACUACCCUUGGCUCCACUGCACUGAGAAGCUCAAGAAAGAAAAUUCCAUUUGAAAGGCUCUUAUCCUUGAAGCUCUCCAUUUGAGAUGUUCUACCUGCUUUCUUCACUUUGCUAUUUGCCCAGUUUAAAAUGUCGGCAUCUGUAAUUUCUUUACCUUGGGAGUGGGAGGAGUGAGAUCUCAAGUUUUUCAGAAGCUGAAGCAUGGUAAACCUCAUUAGCUGCCAC